RNAcentral lists this ribosomal RNA (223 nucleotides) under uncultured bacterium. RNAcentral's name for it is "partial 16S ribosomal RNA". It matches the Rfam family "Bacterial small subunit ribosomal RNA", at positions 116 to 334 of the family's 1533-position model. The record is from RNAcentral.
CGUAGGUAACCUGCCUGGUAGCGGGGGGUAACUAUUGGAAACGAUAGCUAAUACCGCAUAGGAGUAGAUGUUGCAUGACAUUUGCUUAAAAGGUGCAAUUGCAUCACUACCAGAUGGACCUGCGUUGUAUUAGCUAGUUGGUGGGGUAACGGCUCACCAAGGCGACGAUACAUAGCCGACCUGAGAGGGUGAUCGGCCACACUGGGACUGAGACACGGCCCAG